This 86-nucleotide transfer RNA is filed under the name Elusimicrobia bacterium RIFOXYA2_FULL_50_26. RNAcentral describes it as "tRNA-Leu". It matches the Rfam family "tRNA". From Rfam's summary of the family: Transfer RNA (tRNA) molecules are approximately 80 nucleotides in length. Lineage: Bacteria; Pseudomonadati; Elusimicrobiota. The record is from RNAcentral. RNAcentral also lists the same sequence under 1 other name.
GCCGAGGUGGCGGAACUGGCAGACGCACGGGACUUAAAAUCCCGGGCUCCGCAAGGGGCGUGAGGGUUCAAUUCCCUCCCUCGGCA